Molecule: ribosomal RNA, 621 nt
Filed under: uncultured marine ciliate
Lineage: Eukaryota; Ciliophora
Description: bacterial SSU rRNA
Rfam family: Eukaryotic small subunit ribosomal RNA
Source: RNAcentral
AAUUACCCAAUGCUAAUUCAGCGAGGUAGUGACAAGAAAUAACGGGCUGGAGUUAUACUCCGGGACUGAAAUGAGUUUAAUUUACACCACUUUUCGAGGAUCAAUUGGAGGGCAAGUCUGGUGCCAGCAGCCGCGGUAAUUCCAGCUCCAAUAGCGUAUAUUAAAGUUGUUGCAGUUAAAAAGCUCGUAGUUGGAUCUCUGGCAGGAUGACAAUACCGGCCGCCUGGCUUGUGUUGCGUUGUCCUACCAUCCUUCUGUUAAACCUAGCGGAGUUUCAUUACUUUCUAGGCAGCUCAGAUAUUUUACCUUGAGAAAAUUAGAGUGUUUCAGGCAGGCUAGCGCCGGAAUACAUUAGCAUGGAAUAAUAGAAUAGGACUCAUCAUCUUUCUGUUGGUCUGAAGGUUGUGAGUAAUGAUUAAUAGGGAUAGUUGGGGGCAUUAGUACUUAACUGUCAGAGGUGAGAUUCUCAGAUUUGUUAAAGACUAACUAAUGCGAAAGCAUUUGCCAAGGAUGUUUUCAUUAAUCAAGAACGAAAGUUAGGGGAUCAAAGACGAUCAGAUACCGUCCUAGUCUUAACCAUAAACUAUGCCGACUCGGGAUUGGGAGCGAGAGUUAUCCGCU